Long non-coding RNA from Lolium rigidum, 829 nucleotides. RefSeq lists it as uncharacterized. NCBI's taxonomy places the organism in Eukaryota, Viridiplantae, Streptophyta, Magnoliopsida, Poales, Poaceae. The record is from RefSeq and is a predicted model, not a curated record. The transcript is spliced from 3 exons.
UUGCUGAAUUUUUUUUGCUUACUUCUUUUUUAGCUUGAACUAACAACUUCAUCCAAUUAUGGUUAUUGGCACUGGCUGUAGUCGUUGUUUAGUGUAAUCUGGAAGGGUCAUCAUGCGUACUUCCACUUACGAAGCAUUGCUUCCGAGUGUAAUCUGAAAAUUAGAAUUUAAAGUAAUAUUGUUUCUCUUUGCUUGUAAUGUAAGAUGAAUAAUUCAUGAAAUAUCAUUUGACUUAUUUCUCGACUGCAGGAUGUGGUUAAUGUAAGAUGGAUAAUUCCUGAAAUAUGAAGGAUUUGUCGAUACAUAGUAGGUCUAAAAAAUUUAUCUUGCCGAAACUUGUACAUAUAUCUACCUCUUAAACGUUUUUUUUUGCUUCAUUCAUGUAUAUUUAUCUGCUAUCACAUUUUUAUGUUUGUGAGCCAAUCUUGGCACGGCUUGUGGUGCCUCCUUUAACUAGUGCUCCGUGGAACCCUGGCGAGGCGUCCCUUUGGCCUGCUCACUAACUCCAGUGAUAUGUCCAUUGUAAGGGAUUCAGACCAGAAAGGAGGGAGUUCUGAUUUACAAGUUGUAUUGCAGGGGUUUAUUCUUUACAGGAAACACCAAUCUUCCUGCUAAUUCUACUAAUGUGUAAGUAUAACUAUAGUUUAGAUCGUCUUACUGUGACGUUAUGUAAGGUUUCAGUUAAUAUCUGGUUCUAUGUAAUGGCACCUUCAGUAGUUUUUUUUAUGUGCAUUGUGUUGCUCUGUAAAGAAGACUAUCACUUAUCCCAUCCAUCUUUGUACACUUACCGUCGUAACCAGCUCACUUAGUAAUGCCCAUGGUCUCUCUA